UUAAAACCAACAGACACACAGGAGUAUCUCAUUUCUCUCAGCAGGAUUUCUUUCUAUCAGUAUGUUGUUGUUUCUUUGUCGUCCACAGAUUCAACCCAUUACGCAAACUUGAUUCUACCGGCUUUUUCAACAUCAGUCCCAUCAACCUUCACACCAACAACACAGCACGCAAGCUCUCAGUCUGAUCAGCAGCAGACAACAGCAACUACAGAUGUGCUGCUGUAUGUGAUCCUGAUUCUUGCCAUCAUCGUCAUCAUCUUGGGACUGGUACUGACCAUAAUCUGCAUUCAGAGGAAUGCCAAACUUGACUGUUGGAAGACCAGAGGGAACUCAGAUGACACAAACAUUGAGAUUGUCCCUUAUGAGAACAUUCCUCCAGUCUCUACAUUUGAAGACUCCAUCUACCAGAGCCUCGAUCCAGCCAUCAGGAAUCAGGACCAAACCUACUCUACACUCAAACACACACAACACACAUGAAACUGUUUGGAUUCAGGUCUGGAUUCUGUUUCUGUUCCUCAAAGGUCCAGUUUGUACGGUGAAAUAUGAAAAUGUGUUUCUCACUUUGCUGGUGUGUUACUUCUUUUCCAUGUUUUUUGUGUGAUGAUAAAUUCUUGAUUUGUUUGCUUUUUGUCUAUUUGAAUGUGUUUUUUUUAAUUUGAGCUCUCAGGGCCACUGUACAUUUGGAGUAAAUUGACUUUCUUUUCACAUGCUGCCAUUGUGAUGUAUUAACUAUGAUAUCGAUUUUAUAAUAAUAAUAAUAAGAAAUAUUAGUUUUUUAUAGUUUAAUAUUAUUAAUAAACAGCAUUUCAGUCAAAUAUAUAGUUACAUGUGUCAACCAUAUUCCAUAUUACUGUUCACUCUAAAUGUAUUAGCAUGUAGUCAGCUAUAGGUAACACUUCCAGCUGGCAGACAGUGGGUGCAAAUAUUUGGUAAAAUAUUGAAUACAAACUACAUAAGAACUAGUUUGUGUGAUUCAACUUGUUUUAAUGUAAUGAUGUAUAAAUCUCCACUUACAGACCCUUACAUAUAAUAAGGUUAAGUUUUAACCUUACAAACAACAGAUCUCCAUUACAUUUUCUGUGGAUAUUCAUGAUCGUGAGCUGAUGCUGCUGAGCAUCGGGUGUGGUUAUACAUGUACAUAUUUAUAUGUAAUACCCAUAUGUAUAUUUGUUGUUGGUAAAGCACUUUGGACCUUUGUGUUAAAAAGGUGCUAUAUAAAUAAAGCUUUACUUACUUACUUUCAUGUAUCUGGGUUAAUGGGUUAUUUUUCCUGCCAUUAACCAUCAAUUGAUGGUUUCUUGCUGUUCAUGAUGAAUUAAAUGGCUCACAAAGUGCUCACAAUGUUGUAAUGUUUAAUGAGUGUGUGUAAUUAUUAA
Molecule: long non-coding RNA, 1376 nt
Filed under: Dicentrarchus labrax (European seabass)
Lineage: Eukaryota; Metazoa; Chordata; Actinopteri; Moronidae
Description: lncRNA (ENSDLAG00005031768.1)
Source: RNAcentral